Molecule: small nuclear RNA, 64 nt
Organism: Rattus norvegicus (Norway rat)
Lineage: Eukaryota; Metazoa; Chordata; Mammalia; Rodentia; Muridae
Source: Ensembl
GUGCUCACUUGGGCAGCACAUAUACUAAAAUUGGGACAAUACAGAGAAGAUUAGCAUGGCCCCU